This is a long non-coding RNA of Triticum dicoccoides, 687 nucleotides long. RefSeq lists it as uncharacterized. Lineage: Eukaryota; Viridiplantae; Streptophyta; Magnoliopsida; Poales; Poaceae. The transcript has 3 exons. The record is from RefSeq and is a predicted model, not a curated record.
GGAUCGGCAACGUGAAGCUGUAGUUACCGAGCAUCAAAGGAAAGUUAAGGAGGUCAUGACAGCUAAGGCAAAAAAACCAGAUGAGUUGGAGCUGAAGGCAAUGAAAGCGAUGGGAGCAAUGGAGGAAGGGGACGCUGUGUUUGGUUCAGGUGCUGAAGUGAACCUGGAUUCACAGGUUUACUGGUGGCAUGACAAGUACCGACCAAGGAAACCAAAGUACUUCAAUCGUGUGCAUACUGGAUAUGAGUGGAACAAAUACAAUCAAACUCAUUAUGAUCACGACAACCCGCCUCCUAAAAUCGUCCAGGGUCUACAAGUUCAACAUAUUUUACCCUGAUCUUGUGGAUAAAUCAAAAGCACCAAUAUACACUAUAGAGAAAGAUGGAAGCGCGGGGGAGACAUGCCAUAUAAGGUUUCAUGCUGGCCCUCCAUACGAGGAUAUUUCUUUCCGCAUCGUGAACAAGGAGUGGGAGUACUCACACAAGAAGGGCUUCAAGUGCACAUUUGAGCGUGGGAUUCUUCAUCUGUAUUUCAACUUCAAGCGAUACCGCUACAGGCGAUAGAUACCCACACAGCAGAAAGAACUGGAUCGUUGAUUGGCCUAUUAGAAGUUGGUUCUCUGUUUCUCGCUUGAGAGUGUUCUUACAGGAUAGCUCCCGCAUCACAGAAUUCAUCCGAGUAGGCAUG